GUUGUUUUUUUAGAACAGUGAACUGAUAUAUAUAUAUAUGGCAACAAUGUUUACUUUCUGUUUCUUUACUUUUGCUGCCCUGUAAUGUAUACACCACACAAGUGUGUCUUAAUAAUGCAUUAGCAGCUGUCUUCCUGCUCAGCCCUGGAUGAAGUCUAGACAAAACUAGACACAGCCUCCGGGGGAGUGUGUUAUACAACCAUCUAGUUUUAAGCACAGCCACAGCCAACUACCACUGCCUAGGGGCUGACUAGAUUGUGUGUGUGUGCGCCGGAGAGGGAAUGAGAGAUAGAGAUUGUCAGCAUGAGCGUACAUGCUGGUACAGCACAAGGUCCCCACCCAGUCUGUGAUGAUGGCAGGGGGCAGGACUCGGUCUGCCAGCGCUGGCUGCCUGCGAAGGUCAUGUAGAAGACACCACUGGUGUAUAAAUCAGGUCAAAGCCUCCAGUUGCGGCCUGCAGGAGAGCAUGUUGUUAGAAGAACGCAGCAGGCAGCAGGAGAUGAGAUUGGCCUCGCUCUCAUGUGUGAGAACAAGCUCAAAUGUAAACCUUCAGCUACUGCACUUAUAUAUUAGGCCAGUAUUGGCCUGAAAAGAUAUCUGCUUUUAACAGUGUCUGCCUAUAGAGGCCAAGAGCAGCUGUGGUUGCUAAUAAUUGAAAUUUUAUUAAUUAUCAAGAUCAUUUUCCCUUCCAAUUAUAUAUUAUAUCAAAGUAAUGAUCAUAUUAUCUUGUUAGGAGUCAAAAAGUACAGCAGACUGUUAUGUUGCCGCAGUUUCACCAUCUUUCACCAUCAACAUAUAUAUUUUUACUCAGGAGUUGAUGUAGAAUAAACCAGAGCUGUAAGUGGUCACAGGCAGUGUAAAAAUGCUAAUUACUCACCUGGUAGAGCUGGUGCCCCAUGUACCAAGGCUGAGUCCUUGCUGCAGCGGUCAUUGGUUUGAGUCUAUCUUCAGCUGUGCUAUCCAAUAAAGGCAAAAAGGACUUGAACAGUGAUAUCUGUUGAGCCUUAGUCUGAACAUUAGUCUAAUGCCUGACAGUCCAAAAGCUGCCAAAGCUUCACAGGGGUUGUGAGGCUUAAUUGACUUUAAGGGUGUAAGAAAACACCCUAAACACAGUCUGCCGUUUUUCAUUUCUGUGAAAAAAACUAAAGGAAUUUGUUAUUUUUAAAGUUUAGAUUAUUUAAGAUCUAAACUUUGAAGACCUGAACACAAGCUAGAUUCUCAGAGCCUUGUUCUGCAUUAGAAAAGUAUGCAGUCAAAACAACCAAAGAGCUAAUAGCUAACAAUGGACCCAUGUAAGGAAAAAAAGAAGUACAUACUCUGUAAAACCUGUUGAGUUAUUUCAACUCAUACUGUUUGAGGAAACCGAUUGCUUUAAACAUUAACAAUUUAAGCAUGAAAGAAAUUUGAUUUGCGUAGAAGUAACUCAAGUGUUUAUUGUCAAGGUAACUUGGGUAAAUUGAGUUAAUUGUGGCAAUUGCAUUCAGUUCAUUGAAGUUAUACGCAUAUGCAGUAACUAAUUUAAAAUGUUUGAACAGAAUUUUUAGUUGAAUUUACUCAGUUUUCUUCCAAUAAAGCAAAUUAUUACAUUACCUGUCAAAACAGCUGGCAUACGCUAAAUACAAUUUAUAAUAAAUGUAUUAUUUCAAAAUGGUUGCCAAUUAAUUUUCUAUGUUUUUUUAUGUGACUAACAUAAAAUCUUUACACUUUGGGAAAUCAUUAAAAAUUAUUUGGAUGCAUACUGAUGAUUAAUAAACUGAAAUUAAAAUAAAAAUUCUGUUUUUUGAAAAGUGUGUUGGACAUAUAGAAUGACUUGAGUGUAUUAUUACUGUAUGUGUGUGGCAAAUCUGUCAUUGACAGUAGAGAUGUUAAAAUAUGCCUGG
This is a long non-coding RNA of Dicentrarchus labrax (European seabass), 1880 nucleotides long. Lineage: Eukaryota; Metazoa; Chordata; Actinopteri; Moronidae. The record is from Ensembl.